This 75-nucleotide transfer RNA is filed under the name Actinomycetospora sp. NBRC 106378. RNAcentral's name for it is "tRNA-Leu". It matches the Rfam family "tRNA". From Rfam's summary of the family: Transfer RNA (tRNA) molecules are approximately 80 nucleotides in length. The record is from RNAcentral. Lineage: Bacteria; Bacillati; Actinomycetota; Actinomycetes; Pseudonocardiales; Pseudonocardiaceae.
ACCGGCGUAGCCCAAUGGCAGGAGGCAGCGGCUUUAGGUGCCGCACAGUGUGGGUUCGAAUCCCAUCGCCGGUAC